GUAUGUACAUAUAUCACAGGUGUAGGUAUCCAGAUACAUAUAACUUGGGAAAUCAGCUUUUUUCCCAAUCUCUACCAGGGGAAAGUAAAACCAUUUAAACUUUAAAGAAUUAACAUUUGACUACUGUACAGACAUUUGAAAUAAUAUUCAAGUAUUGCACAAUAUUUAAAUAGCAUAAAGAUUAUUUUGAAAAAUAAUUGUUUGAUUACUGUAUAGAUCAGCUUAUAUCAGGUACCCCACAUCCUGGUCUGGCCCUGUUAAAAAGGA
Perognathus longimembris pacificus (Pacific pocket mouse) is the source of this 267-nucleotide long non-coding RNA. RefSeq lists it as uncharacterized. Lineage: Eukaryota; Metazoa; Chordata; Mammalia; Rodentia; Heteromyidae. The transcript has 3 exons. The record is from RefSeq and is a predicted model, not a curated record.